UACGGAAGGCAGCAGUGGGGAAUAUUGGACAAUGGGCGCAAGCCUGAUCCAGCCAUGCCGCGUGAGUGAUGAAGGCCCUAGGGUUGUAAAGCUCUUUCACCGGUGACGAUAAUGACGGUAACCGGAGAAGAAGCCCCGGCUAACUUCGUGCCAGCAGCCGCGGUAAUACGAAGGGGCUAGCGUUGUUCGGAAUUACUGGGCGUAAAGCGCACGUAGGCGGAUAUUUAAGUCAGGGGUGAAAUCCCGGGGCUCAACCCCGGAACGGCCUUUGAUACUGGAUGUCUUGAGUCCGGAAGAGGUGAGUGGAAUUGCGAGUGUAGAGGUGAAAUUCGUAGAUAUUCGCAGGAACACCGGUGGCGAAGGCGGCUCACUGGUUCGGAACUGACGCUGAGGUGCGAAAGCGUGGGGAGCAAACAGGGAUUAGAUACC
Molecule: ribosomal RNA, 429 nt
Filed under: uncultured bacterium
Lineage: Bacteria
Description: bacterial SSU rRNA
Rfam family: Bacterial small subunit ribosomal RNA
Source: RNAcentral